GGGCGGAUAGCUCAGCGGUAGAGCGUCGCCCUUACAAGGCGAGGGUCGCAGGUUCGAGACCUGCUCCGCCCA
RNAcentral lists this transfer RNA (72 nucleotides) under Anaeromyxobacter paludicola. RNAcentral's name for it is "tRNA-Val". It matches the Rfam family "tRNA". From Rfam's summary of the family: Transfer RNA (tRNA) molecules are approximately 80 nucleotides in length. The record is from RNAcentral. Lineage: Bacteria; Pseudomonadati; Myxococcota; Myxococcia; Myxococcales; Anaeromyxobacteraceae.